RNAcentral lists this transfer RNA (89 nucleotides) under Flavobacteriaceae bacterium. RNAcentral's name for it is "tRNA-Leu". It matches the Rfam family "tRNA". From Rfam's summary of the family: Transfer RNA (tRNA) molecules are approximately 80 nucleotides in length. Their secondary structure includes four short double-helical elements and three loops (D, anti-codon, and T loops). Further hydrogen bonds mediate the characteristic L-shaped molecular structure. tRNAs have two regions of fundamental functional importance: the anti-codon, which is responsible for specific mRNA codon recognition, and the 3' end, to which the tRNAs corresponding amino acid is attached (by aminoacyl-tRNA synthetases). tRNAs cope with the degeneracy of the genetic code in two manners: having more than one tRNA (with a specific anti-codon) for a particular amino acid; and 'wobble' base-pairing, i.e. permitting non-standard base-pairing at the 3rd anti-codon position. Lineage: Bacteria; Pseudomonadati; Bacteroidota; Flavobacteriia; Flavobacteriales; Flavobacteriaceae. The record is from RNAcentral.
GCGCACGUGGCGGAAUUGGUAGACGCGCUAGGUUGAGGGCCUAGUGAGAUUAAAAUCUCGUGGAGGUUCAAAUCCUCUCGUGUGCACUA